ACCUGCAGCAACAAGGAGAAGUUAGCCCCAACUCGUAAGGAAGGAGAUGUUCUGGGAACACCACGACCUUUCUACCUGCUCUCCCCACGCCAAGGCCAACGUGCUAAUUCAGCACCCAUCCUCCUUCCCAUUUCUGCCUUCCCUUUGGGGACAAAAAUCACACCCACAAGGCACGGACUGGGGUUAUUCUGCUCUAAAACGGAUGGCACUGAUGCAGUACUCACGUGGAGGAGGAGAGAUUGUGCUAACAGCCCAAGGUACGAAGCAGUUCACUUACCUGAGCAAAGCGAGGCACCAAACCCCGGUUUCUUCAGUGCUGCUGGAAGCCAGCCAGCCUCCCCAUGCCCAUUUAACAGCACAACGGCCAGCUCGAGCCUCCCCCAGCCUUGGCUUCACUCCUCUAUACUUUUGCCCAGGUUUUCUGUCUGAACUCCCAUUUUGUAGCCUACCUGUGGCUUAAAUAAGCCGCAUUCCCCACUCCUGGACUCAGCACAAAUACCAGCUCCGUACGCUGAGGACGGGUUGCGCUGAUCAGGCUACGUGGAUUUUUUUUCUUCUCAGCGUGAUUUUUUUUUUUCCCCCAAACAGAUCAACUUCGCUGCUUCCUCUUAAUGUGAGGAGCAAACACAGGCCCCAGCUGCAUUAACAGCCACAAAGGUAACAAGCCUUUGGAGUUUUUCCCUCCCACUUAGAGCUUUGUGAAUCUGUCGCCUGUGAAACUGCAGAAGGACAGAUCCCCACCAAAGCGACAUCCCACAAACUGGGCAACGAGGCAUCCAGACCCUGACCCACAGCAGCACGAAGGACAGAGCCCCUCUGGAAGUAACGUUUAUCAGACUGCAACCCUGAGCCAACUUCCCCUCCCAGCACGCCAACCCAUGAGAAGCUGCAUCACACUAAAUGAAGUCAUCAAGCGAUGUGUUGACGAGUGGUGAUGUGAGCCAGCCAGGCAGGGGGCUGAAUGUUAGUGAUUUCGUAACCCCUUUCACUCCCAGACAAGCCUGGAAAUCCCAAAUAACCCAGCAGUGAUGCAGAGAAGACACGGAAGAGAUGCGCCAGCACUGGGCUGUGCACGUACCUGCAGGAACUCAACUGUUUUGUCUGGGAGCUUGGUGCCAAUGUACCGCAAGGUCUCUUUGUGGAACUUGCUCUGUAGGUGUUUUUGGAUCUCCUCUUCCUCAAAACUGCGGAACUUGCACACAGAACAGGCGAACUGGAUCCUGAACAGAGCAAUUGCAUGCAAGUGAGCUGAACUUUUAAUGGGAACAUCAAGAUCACAGCUGCUACUGCCCCAACUGUACUUUUUUUUUUUUUCUCCAAAAUGCACUGCCACAGUUUUACUCUGUGGCAGUUCUUUGUGAUCACUGUGUAACCCCCACUGAACAAGGAGCAUCUACAUCUCCCCAAAACAGGUCGUUACACCACAGGAGAGGAUGCAAAAUCCCACACAAGUUUAAAAACAGGUGGACAAACUCAAACCGCAGGAGAUUAAACAGAUGUAAAAAUACUCUCCCUAGUUUGGGACAGCCCUGAGAUACAGAACCACAGCUGCCACCUUAAGCUGUCUUUUGGUGAUUUAUGGCAUUACUGUCAUAGCAAGGCUGCUUGUAUAGCCACUUAAUAUUCCCUUCUGAAUUUGUAACUCUACACUGAGCUAUGUAUCAAACAGCAUGGUAUUCCCAUCUUAGAGCAGUCCUAAGACAUGCAUAAGGGGGAAAAAAAAACCACAAAACUGCUGGAAUCAGAAUGCAGAGCCCCAAAACGUGAUUCCCCAGACAGGCUUCUUGCAGAGGAAGGUCUGAGGUAAAUAUUACAACGUGCGAUCGCUCACAGAAACACUGGGAACAGACUAGGCUAUCACUCUUCCUACCUGUCCAUGGCACGGUCACGCAUCCUAUCUCUUCGCCGCUGCUUCUCCCUCUUCUUUUUCACCUCUUCAUCAUCAUCUUCGCAGCCAUCUCCAGAUGCUAGGGGGAAGGAAAAAAUAAGAAUAAAAAUCUCGGAGUUGCUGUGUAAGAGCUCAUGGUUUACUGGCUGAGGUAUUUCAGGACCAAGUUCCUGAAGCUGAGAGUAAAGAGGAAGCGAAGAAGGAACUUCUGGCCUGCCUCCAGCAGUUGCCGUAAAACCCAAACCCUCCCCUCCUCCAGCUCCCUCAAAUUCCCAGAGCAACUUGAGUCUUGGGAGGCAGCGACAGGACGUGCCCUUACUGGAAAGGGCAGUCACAAACAGUCAUUUACUUCCACAGCGCCACAGAGGCAUGCUGCCAAGACACCUCUCUGACUCACUUUUUGGGAGAGAAUUUUUUCUCCCUGUAUUCUCAUUUUUCCCCCAACCACCUGUUUCUCACAAGGCUGAAAAAGCUACUUUAAAAGGUUAAGCAACAGAAGCACAGAUGUUAGUAGUGCUAACAUCGCGGCUCUGCUUCCUUAGAACAGUUUCAGACUUGUUACGCCUUCCCAAUAAUCUCGAGAGUUGUCAGGAAAACAGGCGAGACCGAGAGAUUCAGCUGACCUAAUCUUGGCAAUAUUUUAGGUGAGAAAGCUACAAGCACUGGGUCAGAGGUUUAUCAGCCCCACGGGACAACGCCUUCAGGUGAAAGAAGCACAGAGACCAGUCCUAGUCAGGAUGCAGUCAGCAGUGGGAGGCUUGAGCAAGAACUUUAACACCCAGCCACGCUUCUUUCAAUCCCAAGCAUAAUCCAGAAGCGCCAACAUCACUCACUGAGGCUUCUGCAAGUCACCAUAACGCAGAAAGCACAGCAUGUUUGGGGCUGACGUGUCUUUACCAAAAAGGACAAUCCAACGUCAGCAGAAGCAGUUUCAGCUCCUUUAGAGCAUGUGGGUUUUAAAAUUGCCACCCUGAUAUCCUGCCAUGUAUCCCUGUAUAUCCUGGCGGGAGCUGCAUCAGCUUUUGAUGGAAAAAAAAUAAAAAUCAAACUCUGGGCAGUGCCUGAAGGCGAGGCAGGCAGCAAGGUGGAGUGUGUCCAGCUCACACACUGGGGGAGCCACCCUACCUUCCUCUGCGAAGUCAGCACAACUCCCAUUCUCCUGGAAAACAGAAAGAGAAAAGGAGGCCGCUGUCAUGUGCUGCCAUCUGGAGGUGUCGUCCACCCAGCCACUGGCAGAGCUGGUGAAGGACGAGGAGAUUUCACCCCCCUGCUGACGCAGGGACGGAGUGCCGACAUUCACAACCACCACCCCCAAAUCGUCAGCUGGCACAGGUGGCUACACAUCACUGGGGAUAUCACUCCUGGCCAUCAAAAUGUAAAUAUUCCACGCCUGAGUCACUGUCUGAGGAGCGCCUUGCAAGCCCCCUUCCCCCCCCCCCCCCCAAACCUGGCAAAGGAGUAAAGGAAACUACCACUAAUUGGGACUUCCGCCUAACGAGCCUCGCAGGUAGAGCCAGAAGCAUUAGGACAUGAGCAUUAGGAUCCCAAACUCCCCACUCCAGGGCUCUCAGCACCUUGGCACAGGCACCUCAACACAGAUCAAUCUGCCAGUAAUCCUUGCUGAAGGGCAUGGGAAAUGAGGAAGAACGAGUACUUUUGGAAUGUACGGGCUCAGAACGCUGCUUCUAGGUGAUUUUAACAACUCUGCCUUCAGCACAGUCAAAAAGCCAAAUGGUUGGAGUGGGUAAAUGUUCCCAUGGCUGCCACAAAGACUUAAAAAACAAACAAACAAAAAAA
Non-coding RNA from Anas platyrhynchos (mallard), 3685 nucleotides. NCBI's taxonomy places the organism in Eukaryota, Metazoa, Chordata, Aves, Anseriformes, Anatidae. The record is from RefSeq and is a predicted model, not a curated record.